Erigeron canadensis is the source of this 4223-nucleotide RNA transcript. It is a transcript of the gene named NF-X1-type zinc finger protein NFXL1, with no coding region annotated. The transcript is spliced from 5 exons. The record is from RefSeq and is a predicted model, not a curated record. Lineage: Eukaryota; Viridiplantae; Streptophyta; Magnoliopsida; Asterales; Asteraceae.
CAUUGCAUUCGUCCAUCCGUUUAACCCCAACACCCCCCGAUUUCAUUUUCUUUUUUCCUUUCUUUUACUUCCCAUCAAAUCCCACCUAAACAAACUUCUCAUCUUUCUUUCUUUCUUUAAUUCUAUUACCCAAACGCACCUUAUUAUUUAAUCAAUCAAAAGAUAAUCAGCUUUAUUAUUUUUAUAUUACAAUAUUCAAUUGGUGAUUUUGAUUUGGAUUCCAUCAGAAGUCGAUUCAACCCCUCGGCGAUUGCUUCCGACAUUCAACUUCCGAUCACCCAGGUGGUGGAUAUGAAUCAAGUUGGAAGUGAGAAUACCAGCAGCAGAACAGAGAUAAAUAAUAUUAACAACGGCAACAAUAGGCCUAGGUACCCUCCUCAUUCUUCUCUUCGUCGUAGAGAAUGGAUUCCUCGUGGGGGUGGUGGACGAGGAGUAGGAGGUUCAGUGGACAGCGCUGCAGUAACAGUAGGAGCAUUCGUUGGGGAAGCUAAUGUCCCGUAUUCAUCGAUUCCUUCUGGAGGUCCACCACAGUCACAUAAUAGUAACAGUAAUAAUAAUAGAGGAGGGAGCUUCAGGAGGCAACAGCAUCAUCAUCAGCAUAAUCAUGUAACUCGGGCUGUAAAUCAAAAUAAUGUUGGUGGUGGUAACCGUGAUAGAAGAAGAAGGGAUGACCGAGUUUCUAAUGGACCAGAAGGGGGAGGGGGAGGAGGAGGAGGAUCGUCUUCUUUACCUCAGCUUGUUCAAGAAAUUCAAGACAAACUUUUAAAGGGUACAAUUGAGUGCAUGAUAUGUUAUGAUAUGGUAAGGCGUUCUGCUCCCGUUUGGUCAUGUUCCAGCUGCUUCUCUAUUUUUCAUUUGAAUUGUAUCAAGAAAUGGGCCAGGGCACCUACUUCUAUUGACUUGUCUGCUGAGAAAAAUCAAGGUUUUAAUUGGCGCUGCCCUGGAUGUCAAUCUGUUCAGUUAACUUCAUAUAAGGAUAUUCGUUAUCUUUGUUUCUGUGGAAAGAGGCAGGAACCCCCAUCAGAUCCAUAUCUCACCCCUCAUUCUUGUGGUGAAGCCUGUGGAAGGCCUCUUGACAAGGACAUUCGUGGUUCUGGUUCUAGUGACAGUGAUAGUGAAGUUGUUUGUCGUCAUCGUUGUGUUCUUCAAUGCCACCCUGGUCCUUGCCCUCCUUGUAAGGCUUUUGCUCCACCAAGAUUGUGUCCAUGUGGGAAGAAAACAAUAACUACAAGAUGCUCUCAACAGAAAUCUCUUGUUACUUGUGGCCAGAUUUGUGGUAAACCUCUCAACUGUCAACGCCAUAGCUGUGGCAGGACAUGCCAUGUGGGUCCUUGUGAUUCUUGUGAGGUUCGCAUUGAUGCCUCAUGUUUCUGCAAGAAAAAGUCUGAGGUAGUUGUUUGUGGAGACAUGGCUCUCAAAGGACCAGUAAAUGUCGAAAAUGGUAUCUUUUCAUGCAGCUCCCCAUGUGAAAAAUCUCUUGUAUGUGGAAACCAUGCCUGCAAAGACACAUGUCAUCCUGGUCUUUGUGGGGAAUGUGACCUGUUGCCAGGUAGGGUCAAGUCUUGCUAUUGUGGUAAAUCAAGCUUACUGGAGGAACGUCAUAGCUGUUUGGAUCCAAUACCAGCCUGCUCACAGAUAUGUGAGAAGACCCUUCCAUGUGGGUUGCAUCUUUGUAAAGAGACAUGCCACCCAGGGUCUUGUGCACCAUGUCGGGUGAUGGUUACUCAAAAAUGUCGUUGUGGGUCAACCUCUCGAGUUGUGGAAUGUUUUAACACCACCAUGGAAGUAGACACCUUCUUAUGUGAUAAACCUUGUGGGCGUAAGAAGAAUUGUGGUAGACACCGUUGCAGUGACAAGUGCUGCCCAUUUUCGAACUCCAACAAUGCCGCCAGGAGGCACCUUACUCAGGGCUGGGAUCCACACUUGUGUUCGAAACCUUGUGAGAAGAAGCUAAGAUGUGGGCAACAUGAUUGUGAGUCGUUGUGUCACAGUGGCCAUUGCCCUCCUUGCCAAGAGACUAUUUUUACUGACCUGACUUGUGCAUGUGGAAGAUCAUCGAUUCCUCCUCCACUACCAUGUGGUACACCACCACCCUCUUGUCAGUACCCAUGUUCUGUUCCUCAACCAUGUGGUCACAUGUCUUCUCAUAGCUGCCAUUUUGGGGAUUGUCCGCCUUGUUCAGUUCCUAUACCUAAGGAAUGUAUUGGGGGCCAUGUUGUUCUUAGAAACAUACCAUGCGGUUCAAAAGAUAUCAGAUGUAAUAAAAUUUGUGGCAAGGCAAGGCAUUGUGGGAUGCAUGCAUGUUUAAGGACAUGCCAUCCGUCUCCAUGUGAUUCAAGCAGUGGAGGAUCCAUAUCUGGGGUGAAGGCUUCAUGUGGCCAGACAUGUGGUGCACCUAGGAGAGACUGCAGGCACACGUGUACCUCCCUUUGUCACCCUUUUAAUCCAUGCCCAGAUGUAAGAUGUGAGUUUCCUGUCACGAUAACUUGUUCUUGUGGUAGAAUAACUGCAACCGUUCCUUGUGAUGCUGGAGGAAACAAUAGCAGUUACAAUGCCGACACUGUUCUUGAAGCAUCUGCAAUGUAUAAAUUGCCGGUGCCACUUCAACCUAUUGAAGCAAAUGGAAAGAAAAUCCCACUAGGACAAAGGAAACUUAUGUGUGAUGAUGAAUGUUCAAAAAUGGAGCGUAAAAAAGUUCUUGCAGAUGCUUUUGGUGUUACUACACCAAAUUUGGACGCUCUCCAUUUUGGUGAGAAUAGCACUGUUUCUGAAAUGCUUGGAGACUUAUAUAGACGUGAUGCUAAAUGGGUUUUGUCAGUGGAAGAAAGAUGCAAAAUGUUGGUUCUUGGGAGGGGGAGAGGUGGAGCAGGUGUUCUCAAGGUUCAUGUGUUCUGUCCAAUGCUGAAAGAGAAAAGAGACGCAGUGAGGCUAAUCGCAGAGAGAUGGAAGCUGUCAAUAAGUGCUGCUGGUUGGGAGCCAAAACGAUUUAUUGUGGUUCAUGUUACACCGAAAUCCAAGGCACCCAGUCGGAUUCUUGGUGCCAAAGGUUUGAACACCUCAAACUUGAUACAUCCACCUAAUUUUGAUCCUUUGGUAGACAUGGAUCCAAGGCUAGUUGUGGCUUUGUUUAAUCUGCCAGGGGAUGCAGAUGUGAGUGCUCUGAUAUUGCGGUUUGGUGGGGAAUGUGAACUCGUGUGGUUGAAUGACAAAAAUGCAUUGGCUGUAUUCAGUGAUCCGGCUCGAGCUGCAACUGCUAUGAGACGUUUAGAUCACGGUUCUGUUUAUUAUGGGGCAACUAUAGUUGGUACUAAUGGUGCAUCAGCCUCGAUUGUAGGUAAUGCUUGGGGGGGUGGUAGUGGCUCAACUGUUGCUACAAAUCCAUGGAAGAAAGCUGUAGUGCAGGAACCAUCUGAUGCAUGGAGUGUUGGGGAAGAGUUGGGGAACCCAGAACCGUCAUCAUGGAAUGUAAAAGAAACUCCAGUAAUCAUGACGACUUCAGCGAAUAGAUGGAGCAUCCUGGAUUCAGAAGUUGGUCGGAGUAAUUUCACUAGUCAAGAAUCUCGUAAAGUUGUAGCUAGUAAUGUGGUAUCGGAGAAUAAUCCAGGAAGUAGUUCAAACAGUGGAUCAAACCAAGAUGAUGUUGUGGAUGACUGGGAAAAGGCUUAUGACUGAUCAUAUGUUGUCAUGCUUUCUCUGAUGCUGAAAAGGUGUGUAUGCCACUUCUGUUACAUAAAAUUUGUGGUGAAUGAAGAAAGAAUGGGGCAAAGGAGCGUUAUGGGUGCUCAAUAUGAGGACGGAUUUAGUUCCAGCUUAUGUGAGCUUCCAUCAGGAUAACACGGAGGUACGGAUUGCAGCUGCUGAAAAGAUUACCAAGGUGUGAUGGGGAUAUCAUUGCUGAAAAUGAAGUUGUAGUCUUAUUAUUGUUGCCUUGAUAGUCUUUUCAGAUAUGCAUUCAGAUGUCACCUGAAAUCAAGAGCUGCCAAAAGGAUACUAAUGAGCUAAAAGUGUGCUUCUAAUCACCUCAAUAGAGCAUCAGUUGCUAAUUUGACAUGAAUAAUGUUAAUAACAAAAACAUACUUUAGGCCGUAUCAUUACUUACAGCAAUGUGAUUUAAUGUAAAUUUUCAAUUGAGUUGACCCUUUGUAAACUCGGAUUUGAAUCUUGGUUUUAAAAAUAGUUGUUCCCGCCGCAACGCGCGGUCACGAACCAACUAGUUAUCAAAA